UACGUAGGGAGCAAGCGUUGUCCGGAAUCAUUGGGCGUAAAGCGCGCGUAGGUGGCCUCAUAAGUCCGCUGUGAAAGUCAAAGGCUCAACCUUUGAAAGCCGGUGGAUACUGUGGGGCUAGAGUACGGAAGAGGCGAGUGGAAUUCCUGGUGUAGCGGUGGAAUGCGCAGAUAUCAGGAAGAACACCAAUAGCGAAGGCAGCUCGCUGGGACGUUACUGACACUGAGGCGCGAAAGCGUGGGGAGCGAACAGG
RNAcentral lists this ribosomal RNA (253 nucleotides) under uncultured bacterium. Its description in RNAcentral is "partial 16S ribosomal RNA". It matches the Rfam family "Bacterial small subunit ribosomal RNA", at positions 524 to 776 of the family's 1533-position model. The record is from RNAcentral.